AUUGAACGCUGGCGGAAUGCUUUACACAUGCAAGUCGAACGGUAGAGGGGGCAACCCCUCGAGAGUGGCGAACGGGUGAGUAAUAUAUCGGAACGUGCCCAGUCGUGGGGGAUAACGUAGCGAAAGUUACGCUAAUACCGCAUACGAUCUAAGGAUGAAAGCGGGGGAUCGCAAGACCUCGCGCGAUUGGAGCGGCCGAUAUCAGAUUAGGUAGUUGGUGGGGUAAAGGCUCACCAAGCCAACGAUCUGUAGCUGGUCUGAGAGGACGACCGACCAGACCGGAACGGGGACACGGUCCAGACUCCUACGGGAGGCAGCAGUGGGGAAUUUUGGACAAUGGACGCAAGUCUGAUCCAGCCAUUCCGCGUGCAGGAUGAAGGCCCUCGGGUUGUAAACUGCUUUUGUACGGAACGAAAAGGUCUCUCUUAAUACGGGGGGCUCAUGACGGUACCGUAAGAAUAAGCACCGGCUAACUACGUGCCAGCCGCCGCCGUAA
RNAcentral lists this ribosomal RNA (496 nucleotides) under uncultured bacterium. RNAcentral's name for it is "partial 16S ribosomal RNA". It matches the Rfam family "Bacterial small subunit ribosomal RNA", at positions 30 to 523 of the family's 1533-position model. The record is from RNAcentral.